CAGUAGCCGCGGUAAUACGAGGGGGGCAAGCGUUGUUCGGAAUUAUUGGGCGUAAAGGGCGCGUAGGCGGCGGCCAAAGUCAGGCGUGAAAUUCCCGGGCUCAACCUGGGGGCUGCGUUUGAUACUUGGUUGCUUGAGUGGGGAAGAGGGUCGUGGAAUUCCCAGUGUAGAGGUGAAAUUCGUAGAUAUUGGGAAGAACACCGGUGGCGAAGGCGGCAACCUGGUCCUUGACUGACGCUGAGGCGCGAAAGCGUGGGGAGCAAACAGGAUUAGAUACCCCUGUAGUCCCUGUCUCUUAUAC
This 301-nucleotide ribosomal RNA is filed under the name uncultured bacterium. Its description in RNAcentral is "partial 16S ribosomal RNA". It matches the Rfam family "Bacterial small subunit ribosomal RNA", at positions 509 to 807 of the family's 1533-position model. The record is from RNAcentral.